Molecule: ribosomal RNA, 467 nt
Filed under: uncultured bacterium
Lineage: Bacteria
Description: partial 16S ribosomal RNA
Rfam family: Bacterial small subunit ribosomal RNA
Source: RNAcentral
GACGAACGCUGGCGGCGUGCUUAACACAUGCAAGUCGAACGGAAAGGCCUCUUUCGGGGGGUACUUGAGUGGCGAACGGGUGAGUAACACGUGAGUAACCUGCCCUUGACUUUGGGAUAACUUCAGGAAACUGGGGCUAAUACCGGAUAGGAGCUCCUGCUGCAUGGUGGGGGUUGGAAAGUUUCGGCGGUUGGGGAUGGACUCGCGGCUUAUCAGCUUGUUGGUGGGGUAGUGGCUUACCAAGGCUUUGACGGGUAGCCGGCCUGAGAGGGUGACCGGCCACAUUGGGACUGAGAUACGGCCCAGACUCCUACGGGAGGCAGCAGUGGGGAAUAUUGCACAAUGGGUGGAAGCCUGAUGCAGCAACGCCGUGUGCGGGAUGACGGCCUUCGGGUUGUAAACCGCUUUCGCUCAUGACGAAGCUUUGUGUGACGGUAGUGGGUAAAGAAGCACCGGCUAACUACGUG